This 253-nucleotide ribosomal RNA is filed under the name uncultured bacterium. RNAcentral describes it as "partial 16S ribosomal RNA". It matches the Rfam family "Bacterial small subunit ribosomal RNA", at positions 524 to 776 of the family's 1533-position model. The record is from RNAcentral.
UACGGAGGGUGCAAGCGUUAUCCGGAUUUACUGGGCUUAAAGGGUGCGUAGGUGGGCAGUUAAGUCAGCGGUGAAAUCUCUGGGCUUAACCCAGAAACUGCCAUUGAUACUAUCUGUCUUGAAUAUCCUGGAGGUGAGCGGAAUAUGUCAUGUAGCGGUGAAAUGCUUAGAUAUGACAUAGAACACCAAUUGCGAAGGCAGCUCACUACGGGGUUAUUGACACUGAGGCACGAAAGCGUGGGGAUCAAACAGG